UACGUAGGGUGCAAGCGUUGUCCGGAAUUAUUGGGCGUAAAGAGCUCGUAGGCGGUUUGUCGCGUCUGCUGUGAAAACCCGAGGCUCAACCUCGGGCCUGCAGUGGGUACGGGCAGACUAGAGUGCGGUAGGGGGAGAUUGGAAUUCCUGGUGUAGCGGUGGAAUGCGCAGAUAUCAGGAGGAACACCAAUGGCGAAGGCAGAUCUCUGGGCCGUAAACUGACGCUGAGGAGCGAAAGCAUGGGGAGCGAACAGG
This 255-nucleotide ribosomal RNA is filed under the name uncultured bacterium. RNAcentral describes it as "partial 16S ribosomal RNA". It matches the Rfam family "Bacterial small subunit ribosomal RNA", at positions 524 to 776 of the family's 1533-position model. The record is from RNAcentral.